CCAUUGGAGUCUAAAAGGCCGCGGUAUUAUGACCGUGCUAAGGUAGCAUAAUCAUUAGUCUUUUAAUUGAAGGCUGGAAUGAAUGGUUGGACAAGAAAUAAGCUGUCUUAAAUAAAAAUAUUGAACUUAACUUUUAAGUGAAAAGGCUUAAAUUUUCUAAAGGGACGAUAAGACCCUAUAAAACUUUAUAUUUAAAAAUAAUUGUUAUUAUUAUUUAAAGAUUUUAUUUUUAAAUAUUUUAUUGGGGUGAUAAGGAUAAAAUAUAAGACAACUGUCUUUUAUUUUAACAAUAAUUUUUGAGUAAAUGAUCUUAAUAAAGGAAUAAAAGAUUAAGUUACUUUAGGGAUAACAGCGUAAUUUUCUUUAAGAGUUCUUAUC
Molecule: ribosomal RNA, 378 nt
Filed under: Astacus astacus (noble crayfish)
Lineage: Eukaryota; Metazoa; Arthropoda; Malacostraca; Decapoda; Astacidae
Description: partial 16S ribosomal RNA
Rfam family: Archaeal large subunit ribosomal RNA (bases 1-151)
Source: RNAcentral